Long non-coding RNA from Syngnathoides biaculeatus (alligator pipefish), 493 nucleotides. RefSeq lists it as uncharacterized. The record is from RefSeq and is a predicted model, not a curated record. The transcript is spliced from 3 exons. Lineage: Eukaryota; Metazoa; Chordata; Actinopteri; Syngnathiformes; Syngnathidae.
CGAAGCUCAGUUGGAAGCAAGCGUAGAGCGUAGUGAAGAAUCGAGAGCAAGGAGAAAGGAAGCAAGUGUGGAAAUCAGAAGUACCCUUAGGAAACCUUCGUAUCGAAUCUGGAUAAACCCCACACCAGCAUGGCCAGAACAUCCAAAACUCCAGUGAUGCUCCAACUUAGAUUCAAAGCCAACUACGGUGGCUCUGAGGCAGACAUCCCAACUGAUAUUUGUGCUCCUGUGGGGUUAAUGGACAAACUGAAGCAGAGCAGCCAAAAUGCAACACUUCAGUCAAGCAACAUCUCCAAAUUACAUUCUUAAUAAAAUGUUUUUAUCGUUACCAGCAGAAUGAGGAACACUGAUAGUACUUCGUUCAGAUUGCAGUAAUAGAUGUAUGUUAAGAUAAAGAAUGUGUGGGUUGCGUCAGGAAGGGCAUUGGCACAAAACUGCCAAAAGAAUCAUGUGAGUGCCCCGUCAAUGGCUACACCUGACUGGAUCAGAUGAA